GGGUCCAUCCUAAUCCCUGCUGGUCAGCCCGUGGCCUGCCAGGUUUCGCUUGUGGACCAGAGCACUCUAGAAGCGUCACCCAGAGAACGGAGCAGGUUUCAGUGGGCUUGUACCGGGGAUGCUUCUGGACAUUU
Molecule: small nucleolar RNA, 134 nt
Organism: Suricata suricatta (meerkat)
Lineage: Eukaryota; Metazoa; Chordata; Mammalia; Carnivora; Herpestidae
Source: Ensembl